Sphaeramia orbicularis (orbiculate cardinalfish) is the source of this 94-nucleotide long non-coding RNA. RefSeq lists it as uncharacterized. The transcript has 4 exons. NCBI's taxonomy places the organism in Eukaryota, Metazoa, Chordata, Actinopteri, Kurtiformes, Apogonidae. The record is from RefSeq and is a predicted model, not a curated record.
GGUUGGAAACCAACUGUCACUUGAUUCUCUCAGAAAGAACAGAUGUUUCCAGAAUACACAGUCUCCCCUCCAUCACCUUCACCAGACAGGGGAA